Molecule: long non-coding RNA, 820 nt
Organism: Olea europaea var. sylvestris
Lineage: Eukaryota; Viridiplantae; Streptophyta; Magnoliopsida; Lamiales; Oleaceae
Exons: 2
Source: RefSeq, a predicted model, not a curated record
CCGUGGAUAGCCCUAAUUUCUUCCCCCUCUUUCUCACUCUCGCUCUCUCGUCAAUGAUCUGCAAGACAGCAAGCACGACCAUUCUCUCACUCUCGCCACCAAAAUCCCUCUCUCUCUCGUGUCUCUUUGAGCCCUUGAUGCGAAGCCGCCUUUCUUCCAUCGACACCAUCAACGACGCAGCCGAAACGAGAGUACAACAGGCAGCCGGGGAAUCUUUUUAGAAGAAGAAGGCGUAGACCACUUAGCACUGAACCGUGAACUCUCUGAAGUACUGAAGUUCAUUCGGCAGUAGGUGAGAGAAGAAGUUCAUUCGGUCAAUAGAAGAAGAUAUUUGAGAUGGAAUCAAACUUAGAGGAAGCGCUCAGGUUUAAAGCAAAUGCUGAGAAGAAGUUUGCAGAGAGAAAUUUUGUUGGUGCAAGGAAUUAAGCUUUUAAAGCUCAGAUGUCCUGUCCUGAACUGGAGGGCAUUUCUCAAAUGGUGGCAAAUUUUAGAGUUUACAUUGCUUCAGAGGCAAAAAUUAAUGGAGAAUUUGAUUUCUAUUCAAUUCUUGGAAUGGAUCCAUCCGCAUACAAGUCUAAGUUGAAGAAACGGUACAAGAAGAUGGCAAUGUUGCUUCAUCUCGAUAAGAACAAAACUGUGGGUGUUAACGGAGAAAAGGUAAUUGCUGAAGAGAGUUUUAAAGAAUUACGUAGUCUAGUUUUUGUAUUUAUAGGCUAACUUGUUUUCUUUGAUACAAGUAAUUUCGUUUUUUCAAGUGUGUAAGAAGGAUUUGUGAUGAGGAAUUUAUUACUCAUUUUUAUUGCAUAAAUAAAUUUAACAA